GAUGAGAACGCAGCAAAAUGCGAUAAGUAAUGUGAAUUGCAGAAUUCAGUGAAUCAUCGAAUCUUUGAACGCACAUUGCGCCCGCCAGUAUUCUGGCGGGCAUGCCUGUUCGAGCGUCAUUUCAACCCUCAAGCUCAGCUUGGUGUUGGGACUCGCGGUAACCCGCGUUCCCCAAAUCGAUUGGCGGUCACGUCGAGCUUCCAUAGCGUAGUAAUCAUACACCUCGUUACUGGUAAUCGUCGCGGCCACGCCGUAAAACCCCAACUUCUGAAUGUUGACCUCGGAUCAGGUAGGAAUACCCGCUGAACUUAAGCAUAUCAAUAAGCGGAGGA
This 332-nucleotide unclassified non-coding RNA is filed under the name soil metagenome. RNAcentral's name for it is "partial contains 5.8S ribosomal RNA, internal transcribed spacer 2, and large subunit ribosomal RNA". The stretch from base 5 to 119 matches the Rfam family "5.8S ribosomal RNA", at positions 40 to 154 of the family's 154-position model. The record is from RNAcentral.